RNAcentral lists this small RNA (1022 nucleotides) under Pan troglodytes (chimpanzee). RNAcentral's name for it is "processed transcript". Lineage: Eukaryota; Metazoa; Chordata; Mammalia; Primates; Hominidae. The record is from RNAcentral.
AAAAGAAGAGCUGGUCCUGAAGCUCACAACCGUAACAGCCACCAGACAAGCUUCAGUGGCCGGCCCUUCACAUCCAGACUUGCCUGAGAGGACCCACCUCUGAGUGUCCAGUGGUCAGUUGCCCCAGGAUGGGGACCACAGCCAGAGCAGCCUUGGUCUUGACCUAUUUGGCUGUUGCUUCUGCUGCCUCUGAGGGAGGCUUCACGGCUACAGGACAGAGGCAGCUGAGGCCAGAGCACUUUCAAGAAGGUAAGAGUUUGGGGGAGCAGCAUGGGAUUGGGACUCCAGGAGGCACUGUGGGCUCUGAUGUCUCCCCUCUUGCUUCUAGUUGGCUACGCAGCUCCCCCCUCCCCACCCCUAUCCCGAAGCCUCCCCAUGGAUCACCCUGACUCCUCUCAGCAUGGCCCUCCCUUUGAGGGACAGAGUCAAGGUAAGGUCACCACCCCAUGCCCUCCUCAGUGACCCUCCAGGUUUCUAAUCUGGCCUAUAUCCCACUUUUCAGGUGGGAAGGAGGGAAGAGGCCCUCGCCCCCACUCCCAGCCCUGGCUAGGCGAAAGGGUGGGCUGCUCACACAUUCCCCCUUCUAUAGUGCAGCCCCCUCCCUCUCAGGAGGCCACCCCUCUCCAACAGGAAAAGCUGCUACCUGCCCAACUCCCUGCUGAAAAGGAAGUGGGUCCCCCUCUCCCUCAGGAAGCUGUCCCCCUCCAAAAAGAGCUGCCCUCUCUCCAGCACCCCAAUGAACAGAAGGAAGGAACGCCAGCUCCAUUUGGGGACCAGAGCCAUCCAGAACCUGAGUCCUGGAAUGCAGCCCAGCACUGCCAACAGGACCGGUCUCAAGGGGGCUGGGGCCACCGGCUGGAUGGCUUCCCCCCUGGGCGGCCUUCUCCAGACAAUCUGAACCAAAUCUGCCUUCCUAACCGUCAGCAUGUGGUAUAUGGUCCCUGGAACCUACCACAGUCCAGCUACUCCCACCUCACUCGCCAGGGUGAGACCCUCAAUUUCCUGGAGAUUGGAUAUUCCCG